CCAACUCAGGCUCCGCCCUCUCCAACAGGCGGUAAUAUGAGCGGGAAAGCGGGGGGGGGGGAAGAGGAGAACGAAAGGAGGAUUCCAAUUGGUAGAAAUUAUUGUGCAGCUGGACCAAUAGCGACAAUGGAACGCGAGAUAGGCGUGACUUAGGCGCUUAUUGCUUAUUUGUCCCCAAAGGGAAGGUGGUCCCAACGCGGUUUAAAUAGACGCUGGGCUGCUGCAGUUACGGCUCCUCUCCCGAGAGGGAGUAGGUUGGUCCUUUGUUGUCUGGGCUCGCGAUGGGGCUGCCAAACCGAACCGCUUCAAACAAAGCGAGCAGUAUAGCUGUCGUGGCCAAAGGUUGCUGUAGGAGACAGGGUUCCUGCUGUUCCAUGCCUUAAGGACUGAAGCCUGAAGUAGCAGAAAAGGCUAGGAUCUGCUUUGUUAUCCAUCUUCUAUAUGAGACUCAUCUGAAACUGGUUUGCUUUCACCCUCACAGACACCCUUCUGAGAUAAUUAAGGCACAGUGUUUAUAUGUGUGUUGUGGGGUAUUAAUACAUGUGAAUAAUUUGUUCAGAUUGAUUUGUAAAUAUUAACAGUACAUAAUUUAUUUCAAUUG
Hemicordylus capensis (graceful crag lizard) is the source of this 601-nucleotide long non-coding RNA. RefSeq lists it as uncharacterized. The transcript is spliced from 2 exons. Lineage: Eukaryota; Metazoa; Chordata; Lepidosauria; Squamata; Cordylidae. The record is from RefSeq and is a predicted model, not a curated record.